UCUCCAAGAAAUUACUACUCGUAUUCCACCGUUUGCUAAUAAUAGUACUCUGGGUUCCGCGACCGUUCGAUAUUCUUGUUUUCCGAAGUGUUUUCUUUAUCUCAGCCACCUUCCCUGGUCGGUUUCUGAGACCUGGAGAGUCCAGGACAACAACUCCCUUCCCCCUGGAAUAUCUCAGUGUCAGGCUCGCCCUCUCCGACAGCCACCGUUGUUGUUACGUAAUUCAAGGGUGGUCACUCCGCGCGGUCCCCUCCGACCACCGUUCUCCACUGUCAACGAUUCGCAAUGAUCUGACACGGCCAGCUGGGGAGCGAAGGUCUCAUGUUGAGAAAGCUGGUAUUGAUGAACUCUAAAGACAACCAGGUACGAUGGUGCUCCCUUAAAGUUCAAAACCAGCCUGAACUACAUAUGGAAACCCAGUCUCACCACCACCCCAAUAUGGAAACCCAGUCUCAUCUCCCCAACCCCUCCCGAACCCCUCUCCCCAAAAUAGUAUUGCCUUGGUUUUUGUACUUUAUGGAAUGUCAUUUUAACUGUCAAUACAAUUCCAACUUUAUAGUCACUUUUAUCACUUCUGAGAAAUAAAGAGGCAUUAAAAACUUUGA
This is a long non-coding RNA of Mastomys coucha (southern multimammate mouse), 605 nucleotides long. RefSeq lists it as uncharacterized. The transcript is spliced from 2 exons. NCBI's taxonomy places the organism in Eukaryota, Metazoa, Chordata, Mammalia, Rodentia, Muridae. The record is from RefSeq and is a predicted model, not a curated record.